AGCGGAGGAAAAGAAACUAACAAGGAUUCCCCUAGUAACGGCGAGUGAAGAGGGAAGAGCUCAAAUUUUAAAUCUGCCUUGUUCCAAGGUCGAGUUGUAAUUUGAAGAAGCGUUUUCUUGGGCUCGCGGCCGGUAGAAGUUCUUUGGAACAGGACAUCAUAGAGGGUGACAAUCCCGUCCGUGACCGGUCGUGCGUUCAUCUACGAUACGCUUUCAAAGAGUCGAGUUGUUUGGGAUUGCAGCUCCAAACGGGUGGUAAACAUCACCUAAGGCUAAAUAUUGGCGAGAGACCGAUAGCGAACAAGUACCGUGAGGGAAAGAUGAAAAGAACUUUGAAAAGAGAGUUAAACAGUACGUGAAAUUGUUGAAAGGGAAACGAUUGAAGUCAGUCGUGCUGGCGCGAAAUCAACCCUCUCGUCUUGAGAUCACAUGGCGCGACGAGCCUCAAAACCGUCACGAAGCGUGAACUCUUGACGAAAAGGUGCACUUUCGUGUCCGCUGGUUAACAUCAAUUUCGAACGUCAUAAAAAGGCUGGAGGGAUGUGGCUCCUUCGGGAGUGUUAUAACCUUUAGCGGAAUGUGGCGUUCGGGAUUGAGGAUUGCAACGAAUACCUUCAGGGCUGUUCCACCUGGCUUCUCAUUGGUAUCCUGGUGACGACAGCUUGCUGACGUCGUUAGGAUCAGCUUCUGAACAGGCUAGAGUGUGAGCAAAUUCGUUAAGGAUGUUAACGUAAUGGCUUUAAACGACCCGUCUUGA
Molecule: ribosomal RNA, 757 nt
Filed under: Glomeromycotina sp. OTU31 DJMC-2012
Lineage: Eukaryota; Fungi; Glomeromycota
Description: eukaryotic LSU rRNA
Rfam family: Eukaryotic large subunit ribosomal RNA
Source: RNAcentral